CCGCGUUCCGCCGGGCUGGCCCGGGAGGCGGCUGGGCCGCGGCUCGAGAGCGGCCCCUGCUCUGGUACUGUGCCUGCUGGAGGGUAAUACGGACGGGGUCACACUAAUAAUUAGGUUGAAAAGAUCUCCGAGAUCAUCGAGUUCAAUCUAUGACCGAGCGCCACCUUGUCGACCAGACCAUGUCACAGCCAGUCUUUUCUCGAAGUGGAUGCACCACCUCCCAUUCCAAUGUCUAAUGACCCUUUCAGGAAGAAAUUCUUCCUGAUGUCCAAUCUAAGUUUUCCCUGGCCCAGCUUCAGACUGUCUUCUCAUCCUGUCACUUGCUACCUGAAAGAAAACCCUGAUCCUACCCGGCUACAACCUCCUUUCAGACAGUUGUAGAGAAUGAUUUAUUUGCCUCCCCCUCCCAGUAUGGGGGAUCAACGUAGAUGACCAAAUUCAUUUUUACAUCGCAGUGGUGCCAACAGCUGAAGAGAAUCUGAUGUCACCAUUCAAAAAACACAUCAUGCAACAUGACAGAGGGUCUAGAGUCGUGCUGAGGAGCUGAAACAGUAAUAAGUAGGUCUGGAUU
This is a long non-coding RNA of Passer domesticus (house sparrow), 571 nucleotides long. RefSeq lists it as uncharacterized. The transcript has 3 exons. The record is from RefSeq and is a predicted model, not a curated record. Lineage: Eukaryota; Metazoa; Chordata; Aves; Passeriformes; Passeridae.